RNAcentral lists this ribosomal RNA (400 nucleotides) under uncultured bacterium. RNAcentral's name for it is "bacterial SSU rRNA". It matches the Rfam family "Bacterial small subunit ribosomal RNA", at positions 355 to 752 of the family's 1533-position model. The record is from RNAcentral.
UGAGGAAUAUUGGUCAAUGGGCGCAAGCCUGAACCAGCCAUCCCGCGUGCAGGAAGACGGCGCUAUGCGUUGUAAACUGCUUUUCCAGGGGAAGAAAACCUGAUACGUGUAUCGGCUUGCCGGUACCCUGGGAAUAAGCAUCGGCUAACUCCGUGCCAGCAGCCGCGGUAAUACGGAGGAUGCGAGCGUUAUCCGGAUUUAUUGGGUUUAAAGGGUGCGUAGGCGGAUUAAUAAGUCAGUGGUGAAAACCUGCAGCUUAACUGUAGACUUGCCAUUGAUACUGUUAGUCUUGAGUGUGGUCAAGGUAGGCGGAAUGUGUAAUGUAGCGGUGAAAUGCUUAGAUAUUACACAGAACACCGAUUGCGAAGGCAGCUUACUGGGCCAUUACUGACGCUGAUGC